This is a long non-coding RNA of Bos taurus (domestic cattle), 818 nucleotides long. Lineage: Eukaryota; Metazoa; Chordata; Mammalia; Artiodactyla; Bovidae. The record is from Ensembl.
CUACUGGUUUCCCUGGUAACUAGUGAGCCUGCUGCUGCUGCUAAGUCGCUUCAGUCGUGUCCGACUCUGCGACCCCAUAGACAGCAGCCCACCAGGAUCCCCUAUCCCUGGGAUUCUCCAGGCAAGAUCACUGGAGUGGGUUGCCAUUUCCUUCUCCAGUGCAUGAAAAUGAUAAGUGAAAGUGAAGUCGCUCAGUCGUGUCUGACUCUUAGCAACCCCAGGGACUGCAGCCCACCAGGCUCCUCCGUCCAUGGGAUUUUCCAGGAGCGAAGACUGCCUGCGGUCCUGUCCUGCCCGCCGUCUGCUGCAAGCUCUGGGGUGUCCUCCAGGACCUUGCUUCAGACAGUCCCCAUGAUGAAAAGGACAUUCCCUGUGGACACCAGCCUAAAUCAAUUGAAUUUCCAGCUGGCAGCAGACAUGGGUCUGGGAGUCAGAAGUCUGAAAGCAAGACGCCAGCAAGGCCACAUGCUCACUGAAGUUUCCAUAAGAGAAGCCUUCCUGGCUUCUUCCAGCUUCUGGUGGUUCAAGGUGUUUGUUACCUGUGGUUGCAUGAAUCUUAUCGUUUGUCUUCACAUGACUUUCUCCUCUGUGUCUCUGGCUUGGCCUUCUCCUCUGUAUAUCUGUGUCUCCUCCUCUUCUGUUAUUUAUAAGGAUGUAUCAUUGGAUUUAGGGUCUCCCCAUAUUAUUCAGAAUGAUCGCACCUCAAGAUGCUUGCCUUCAUUAUAUCUGCAAAGAGCCUUUUCCUUUUUUAUCUUCCCCCAGAUCAGGCUGUAUUUACAGGUGAUGGGGGAUACAUCUUUUUGAGGCCACCAUUCAAC